AUGUUUUGUAGGGGAGGCAAUGUUAAGAGAGGAAUUCUAAAGAGUUUCAUGCAUAAGUACCAUCUGUAGCACUUUAAAUAUGACAAAUAUGGCCUUCCCCUAAAGUUGACUAUUGUGAAACAAACACACCAACAAACCCAAGUCCCCACAUAUUAAAAAAUAACACCACUCAUUGGAUAUGUAAGUUUGGUUGUACUUCUAAAAUAAGAAAAAUUUCAAAGCCCAAACACACCCAAUUCACUAGUACCCUGAGUUAGGGGGAGAAAAAAGCGGAUAUAUAAUAAAUGUUUUACUAAUAUGGUACAGUGCAUGAAAAAAUAAUAUUAUCUAUGUUUCUCAACUUUCUAAGCACACUGCACAGUCACACCUUGUGUGUGUAAGAAGGAAAAGGAUCACAUGUCUCCCCAGUGAACCACAGGGUAAAUGAACCAGUGACCCUGAGAAAUAAACAAUCUGCCUGGUUCUUUCAUCUCUGCAAAGGAAGUUUCUUUCUGUUCACUACUUGACUAGCUGGAAUUCCACCCAGGAAGACACAGCAUUCCUAUCCUCCAGAGGAUUUGGCUCUCAAGAUGCCAUCUUGGAAGCAGAAAGCAGCCCUCACCAGAUGUCAGCACCUUGAUCUUGGACUUCCCAGCCUCCAGAACUGUGAGAAAUAAACUUCUCUUCUUUAUAAAUUACCCAGUUUGCGGUAUUCCGUUAUCAUAGCACAAACAACCUAAGACAAAAACCAAAAUACUUUAAAAAUAUUUGACAAUUUGAGUCCAUUCAUUGAAUAUUAGUCUUUAGGUCAGCAAAGUAAAAAGAAGAGUGAACACAAUUUCUGGCAGGAUCUUGUUCCUCUUGAACUCUCCUCACACUGACAGGGACCCAGCUAUAGUGCAAAGUCUGAACAUGGCCUUCCCUCACUUAUGUACAUCUUUUCCUUGACUCCUCAUCAUGCCUCCUCAUAAUGUCCACCCAUGUGACUUAACAUAUGGGAUCCCUGCAACUGGGACUCCUUCUGUCUUUACAAGCUCUUCUCCAAAUGCUCUGUAGCUUCUCCUGAAUGCUCAAGUACUAACCUGCUUGGAGCUACCUGUUCAUCCCAGGUCCUUUCUGACUCUGUGUUGCUGUACGUAUUGUCCCCUCAGUCGGCCAUCUUAUUUGGGUGGCUAAUUCCUAGUUGUGCUUCAAGAUUCAGCUCCUGGGUCAUCUCUGGGAAAGCCUCUCUCCUAGGAAGCCAAAUCUGAGCCACCAGAUGGGACGACAUCAACUCCCCAACCUCUGUAGUUUCACAGUACCCUGCACAGAUAUCUAGAUACACUUUCCACAAAAAUCAGAAGUGAUCUCUGUUUUUCUGUCUUCGUCCCACUAUCUUGGUCCCACAGUCUGUCACUAGAUUAUAAACUCUUCAAGGGCAUGAACAAUAUUUAUUGAUCUUUAUAUUUCUAGUAAUAAUUUGUUUAAUGCUAAUUUGAGUAUCACACGCACUAGGCUUUGCUGAACCCUUGACUGUACAGGAGACAGGAAACAUUGGUUAGUAGGAGUGGAUAAAAGAGAGGGUCUAAAUACCAUUUUUUUUUUUCUGAUGGAAAGGGUACAUUUUAAUAGUUAGCAUGAGAAAUAAUCUAUGCUUCUCAUUUUUGAAUCAUAUUAAUCCACUCCACUCUGGAGUCUUCAGGUAAAAUGCACCUUAAGAAGCAGCAAAGUGUGUGCAGGAGCAUUCUGGGUAAAAAGCCUCUUUGUAGGUAAAAGUACAUAUCAGAUAUGAAGGCACAACUUUUUUGUUUAAUACACAAUAGAUAUUCCAUUAAUAAACAUACAGCAUUGGGUCAAUAUCAUACAAAAAUGAAGAAAAAGUUGAAAAAUCUAGAACUCCCUUAUUCUCUCUAGAUCAUCAGCCUGAAUCAUUAAUUCAACAAAUAUUUAUUGAAUGUCUACUCUAAGUAAGGAAGUGUUCUAGGAGCUGGGGAUAUACCAGUGACCAAGACAGAUGACAUCUCUAAUUUCAUAGAUCUUUAGUGCAUUGUGGGAAACAAACAUUCUCUAGUAAUGCACUAGUGAAUACAAUUAGAAAUAUAUAAUGGUAUAACUAUUAAUAUAAAAUAUAAAAAUAUGAUAGAAAAAUUAGUA
Molecule: long non-coding RNA, 2112 nt
Filed under: Homo sapiens (human)
Lineage: Eukaryota; Metazoa; Chordata; Mammalia; Primates; Hominidae
Description: HSALNT0369122
Source: RNAcentral